Molecule: ribosomal RNA, 447 nt
Filed under: uncultured bacterium
Lineage: Bacteria
Description: partial 16S ribosomal RNA
Rfam family: Bacterial small subunit ribosomal RNA
Source: RNAcentral
UGGGGAAUUUUGGACAAUGGGCGAAAGCCUGAUCCAGCAAUGCCGCGUGUGUGAAGAAGGCCUUCGGGUUGUAAAGCACUUUUGUCCGGAAAGAAAUGGCUCUGGUUAAUACCUGGGGUCGAUGACGGUACCGGAAGAAUAAGGACCGGCUAACUACGUGCCAGCAGCCGCGGUAAUACGUAGGGUCCAAGCGUUAAUCGGAAUUACUGGGCGUAAAGCGUGCGCAGGCGGUUGUGCAAGACCGAUGUGAAAUCCCGAGCUUAACUUGGGAAUUGCAUUGGUGACUGCACGGCUAGAGUGUGUCAGAGGGGGGUAGAAUUCCACGUGUAGCAGUGAAAUGCGUAGAGAUGUGGAGGAAUACCGAUGGCGAAGGCAGCCCCUGGGAUAACACUGACGCUCAUGCACGAAAGCGUGGGGAGCAAACAGGAUUAGAUACCCUGGUAGUCC